UCUUCCUUCUAGAUGAGUUAGGCUUUGGAUUCUUCUUAUGUCCCAAUCUUUCUUUUUUAACAUUUAUGCCUUUUAUCCUGAACUUACAAUAGAAAUUCCCCAAGAGAACCAAUAGCUACAGGAUCCAGAUCAAACUUUAAAAAGAAGGAAAUAGUGUGAAAACAACGAGCCAGCACUUUAUUUUGGUACCAGAUUUGCCGGCGAAACACCAUCAUAUGAAAUUCAAAUCACGUCCUCAAAUGCAAGCAUGUCAAAGUUGGAAUGCACUCCUAGAAGUGAACAGGGAUACCUUUUUAAGAAGUUAGUGGAUGAUUACACAAAAAUGAUUAAAGAAUUUAAUUAAGUGUAUCCUUGCUUUUGGUAGGAUUUACUCGAACUGAAGAUAAGUUUGCAAACUGUACAACAAGCACAGCAUGAGAUUUCAUGCAAUACAAGUGGCUUGUAUGUUAUUUCACCUGGGUCUAUUUUGAAGUUUGAAUAUGUGAAUGCUCAUACUUGUAUUAUUUAUGCAUGUCAUUACCCCUAGGCCAUGGAAGUCAAAUGUCAAUAUGCUCAGCCAUGAGUUUGGGGUGGUAUUAAGAUUGUUAACAGAACAGAAGAAACAUUGCUGGAUUUGCAUCCAAAAUGGUGGAACAACGACAAAAUUAUUAUCCCAGUUGCUGAAAUCAGCCACAUAAACUAUGCAAUGUGAUUCAGCUUGAUUAAAACUCAAAUCUUCCGAAAUAUUGUCAGGCGAAGAAAAUUUUAUAAAAGAAAUGAUGCAGAAAAAAAGUUCAUAAUAAUGAUUUUUUAACAA
Vigna radiata var. radiata (mung bean) is the source of this 796-nucleotide long non-coding RNA. RefSeq lists it as uncharacterized. The transcript has 3 exons. NCBI's taxonomy places the organism in Eukaryota, Viridiplantae, Streptophyta, Magnoliopsida, Fabales, Fabaceae. The record is from RefSeq and is a predicted model, not a curated record.